RNAcentral lists this ribosomal RNA (197 nucleotides) under Vibrio parahaemolyticus. RNAcentral describes it as "partial 16S ribosomal RNA". It matches the Rfam family "Bacterial small subunit ribosomal RNA", at positions 1 to 181 of the family's 1533-position model. Lineage: Bacteria; Pseudomonadati; Pseudomonadota; Gammaproteobacteria; Vibrionales; Vibrionaceae. The record is from RNAcentral.
AAAUUGAAGAGUUUGAUCAUGGCUCAGAUUGAACGCUGGCGGCAGGCCUAACACAUGCAAGUCGAGCGGAAACGAGUUAUCAGAACCUUCGGGGGACGAUAACGGCGUCGAGCGGCGGACGGGUGAGUAAUGCCUAGGAAAUUGCCCUGAUGUGGGGGAUAACCAUUGGAAACGAUGGCUAAUACCGCAUGAUGCCU